GCAACAGCUCAGAUUUGGAAUCUGGCCCCCAGCGCCGGAGUUGUAAUCUGGAGAGGAUGCUUCUGGCGCGGCGCUUCCGAGUUCCCUGGAACGGGACGCCGGAGAGGGUGAGAGCCCCGUACGGUUGGACGCCUAGCCUUUGUGAAGCUCCUUCGACGAGUCGAGUAGUUUGGGAAUGCUGCUCAAAAUGGGAGGUAAAUUUCUUCUAAAGCUAAAUACCGGCCAGAGACCGAUAGCGCACAA
RNAcentral lists this ribosomal RNA (243 nucleotides) under Leptographium piceaperdum. RNAcentral describes it as "Grosmannia piceaperda partial large subunit ribosomal RNA". It matches the Rfam family "Eukaryotic large subunit ribosomal RNA", at positions 101 to 347 of the family's 3401-position model. Lineage: Eukaryota; Fungi; Ascomycota; Sordariomycetes; Ophiostomatales; Ophiostomataceae. The record is from RNAcentral.